UACGUAGGGGGCAAGCGUUGUCCGGAUUUAUUGGGCGUAAAGAGCGUGUAGGCGGCCAGGUAGGUCUGCUGUGAAAACUCGAGGCUCAACCUCGAGACGUCGGCGGAAACCAUCUGGCUAGAGUCCGGAAGAGGAGAGUGGAAUUCCUGGUGUAGCGGUGAAAUGCGCAGAUAUCAGGAGGAACACCGGUGGCGAAGGCGGAUCUCUGGGCCGAUACUGACGCUGAGGAGCGAAAGCGUGGGGAGCGAACAGG
Molecule: ribosomal RNA, 253 nt
Filed under: uncultured bacterium
Lineage: Bacteria
Description: partial 16S ribosomal RNA
Rfam family: Bacterial small subunit ribosomal RNA
Source: RNAcentral